RNAcentral lists this ribosomal RNA (528 nucleotides) under Bacillus sp. 5.1B.1B. Its description in RNAcentral is "bacterial SSU rRNA". It matches the Rfam family "Bacterial small subunit ribosomal RNA", at positions 817 to 1345 of the family's 1533-position model. The record is from RNAcentral. Lineage: Bacteria; Bacillati; Bacillota; Bacilli; Caryophanales; Bacillaceae.
UAAGUGUUAGGGGGUUUCCGCCCCUUAGUGCUGCAGCUAACGCAUUAAGCACUCCGCCUGGGGAGUACGGUCGCAAGACUGAAACUCAAAGGAAUUGACGGGGGCCCGCACAAGCGGUGGAGCAUGUGGUUUAAUUCGAAGCAACGCGAAGAACCUUACCAGGUCUUGACAUCCUCUGACAAUCCUAGAGAUAGGACGUCCCCUUCGGGGGCAGAGUGACAGGUGGUGCAUGGUUGUCGUCAGCUCGUGUCGUGAGAUGUUGGGUUAAGUCCCGCAACGAGCGCAACCCUUGAUCUUAGUUGCCAGCAUUCAGUUGGGCACUCUAAGGUGACUGCCGGUGACAAACCGGAGGAAGGUGGGGAUGACGUCAAAUCAUCAUGCCCCUUAUGACCUGGGCUACACACGUGCUACAAUGGGCAGAACAAAGGGCAGCGAAACCGCGAGGUUAAGCCAAUCCCACAAAUCUGUUCUCAGUUCGGAUCGCAGUCUGCAACUCGACUGCGUGAAGCUGGAAUCGCUAGUAAUCGC